AGCGAACGCUGGCGGCAGGCUUAACACAUGCAAGUCGAGCGGGCAUCCUUGUGGUGUCAGCGGCAGACGGGUGAGUAACGCGUGGGAACGUGCCCUUCGGUUCGGAAUAACUCAGGGAAACUUGAGCUAAUACCGGAUACGUGCGAGAGCAGAGAGGUUUAUCUGCCGAAGGAUCGGCCCGCGUCUGAUUAGCUAGUUGGUGAGGUUAUGGCUCACCAAGGCGACGAUCAGUAGCUGGUCUGAGAGGAUGAUCAGCCACACUGGGACUGAGACACGGCCCAGACUCCUACGGGAGGCAGCAGUGGGGAAUAUUGGACAAUGGGGGCAACCCUGAUCCAGCCAUGCCGCGUGAGUGAUGACGGCCUUAGGGUUGUAAAGCUCUUUUCUUCGGGACGAUAAUGACGGUACCGGAGGAAUAAGCCCCGGCUAACUUCGUG
This 437-nucleotide ribosomal RNA is filed under the name uncultured bacterium. Its description in RNAcentral is "partial 16S ribosomal RNA". It matches the Rfam family "Bacterial small subunit ribosomal RNA", at positions 29 to 507 of the family's 1533-position model. The record is from RNAcentral.